This 467-nucleotide ribosomal RNA is filed under the name uncultured bacterium. RNAcentral describes it as "partial 16S ribosomal RNA". It matches the Rfam family "Bacterial small subunit ribosomal RNA", at positions 28 to 506 of the family's 1533-position model. The record is from RNAcentral.
GACGAACGCUGGCGGCGUGCUUAACACAUGCAAGUCGAACGGAAAGGCCCUGCUUUUGUGGGGUGCUCGAGUGGCGAACGGGUGAGUAACACGUGAGUAACCUGCCCUUGACUUUGGGAUAACUUCAGGAAACUGGGGCUAAUACCGGAUAGGAGCUCCUGCUGCAUGGUGGGGGUUGGAAAGUUUCGGCGGUUGGGGAUGGACUCGCGGCUUAUCAGCUUGUUGGUGGGGUAGUGGCUUACCAAGGCUUUGACGGGUAGCCGGCCUGAGAGGGUGACCGGCCACAUUGGGCCUGGGAUACGGCCCAGACUCCUACGGGAGGCAGCAGUGGGGAAUAUUGCACAAUGGGCGGAGGCCUGAUGCAGCAACGCCGCGUGCGGGAUGACGGCCUUCGGGUUGUAAACCGCUUUCGCCUGUGACGAAGCGUGAGUGACGGUACUGGGUAAAGAAGCACCGGCUACCUACGU